AUGCGCCGAGACCAACCUUGGGUGCUGGGCUCCGAGGAUGUCCUUCUGGCCGUACUUCCUCCAGCUGCGGCCGUCGUCGGCGGGGGCGUCCGCCCCUCCCGCCGCCGAGCUCACCCUGAUCUGACGCCCCCCUUUCUCCGACGUCUUCCUGCGAAUCCAAGAACAAGAAAUCACUCAACAAUCCAGCAAAAAAGAUUAAAAGAAAACAGUUUCUCUGCAACUGCGAGGGGUUUUGGGUCACCUCUUCUUGUUGGGCUUGAACGGCGUGUUGGAGACGCCGCUGAGGGGGCUGGGCGUGGGGGACAGCGGCGGCGAGUCGAGGCCGGCGCCGGCGGCCGGGCGCUUGGGGCCGUUGAAGUGGCCGGACCUGAUCAUGCCGAUGGACCUCUCGGUGACGGCGAAGAUCUGCUGGGCGAGGAGCUUGCAGAGGUCGGGCGAGCCCCCCAGGUGCACGUCCAGCUGCUUCACCAGCUCCUUGAUGUGGCUCAGCUCCGUCACCACCAGGCCGCUCCCUCCUCCAUUGCCCUCAUGCACGGCCUCCAUCUCUAUCUGCUCGGGGUUUCUUUCUCGCCGGUGCAGGAUUCCUAUCUGAUUUCUCAGAGCAAAUGUAAGAUCGGAAGUGUGUGUCUGUGUGUGUGUGUGUGUGUGUGUGUGUGUGUGUGUGUGUGUGUGGAGAGAGAGAGCGCGGAGGAGAGGCAAAAUGGGGAUGUGAUCGGGCAGAAGGGAGGAUGA
Molecule: ribosomal RNA, 732 nt
Filed under: Triticum aestivum (bread wheat)
Lineage: Eukaryota; Viridiplantae; Streptophyta; Magnoliopsida; Poales; Poaceae
Description: partial small subunit ribosomal RNA
Source: RNAcentral